Molecule: ribosomal RNA, 508 nt
Filed under: uncultured bacterium
Lineage: Bacteria
Description: partial 16S ribosomal RNA
Rfam family: Bacterial small subunit ribosomal RNA
Source: RNAcentral
GACGAACGCUGGCGGCGUGCCUAAUACAUGCAAGUCGAACGCUUCUUUCCUCCCGAGUGCUUGCACUCAAUUGGAAGGAGGAGUGGCGGACGGGUGAGUAGCACGUGGGUAACCUACCCAUCAGAGGGGGAUAACACUUGGAAACAGGUGCUAAUACCGCAUAACAGUUUAUGCCGCAUGGCAUAAGAGUGAAAGGCGCUUUCGGGUGUCGCUGAUGGAUGGACCCGCGGUGCAUUAGCUAGUUGGUGAGGUAACGGCUCACCAAGGCCACGAUGCAUAGCCGACCUGAGAGGGUGAUCGGCCACACUGGGACUGAGACACGGCCCAGACUCCUACGGGAGGCAGCAGUAGGGAAUCUUCGGCAAUGGACGAAAGUCUGACCGAGCAACGCCGCGUGAGUGAAGAAGGUUUUCGGAUCGUAAAACUCUGUUGUUAGAGAAGAACAAGGACGUUAGUAACUGAACGUCCCCUGACGGUAUCUAACCAGAAAGCCACGGCUAACUACGUG